This 346-nucleotide ribosomal RNA is filed under the name uncultured bacterium. RNAcentral describes it as "partial 16S ribosomal RNA". It matches the Rfam family "Bacterial small subunit ribosomal RNA", at positions 338 to 682 of the family's 1533-position model. The record is from RNAcentral.
CCUACGGGGGGCAGCAGUGAGGAAUAGUGGUCAAUGGGCGCGAGCCUGAACCAGCCAAGUCGCGUGAGGGAAGACGGUCCUAUGGAUUGUAAACCGCUGUUGUCGGGGAGCAAAAGACGACACGCGUGGCGUUCCGAGAGUACCCGAAGAAAAAGCAUCGGCUAACUCCGUGCCAGCAGCCGCGGUAAUACGGAGGAUGCGAGCGGUAGCCGGAUUUAUGGGGUGUAAAGGGUGCGCAGGCGGAAGAUCAAGUCAGCGGUAAAAUUGAGAGGCUCAACCUCUGCGAGCCGUUGAAACUGGUUUUCUUGCGUGAGCGAGACGUCUGCGGCAUGCGUGGUGUCGCGGU